GAUUAGCCAUGCUAGUCGCACGAGUUCAGACUCGUGGCAUAUAGCUCAGUAACACGUGGCCAAACUACCCUUCAGACCGCGAUAACCUCGGGAAACUGAGGCCAAUAGCGGAUAUCACUCUCAUGCUGGAGUGAGAGAGUGACAAACGUUCCGGCGCUGAAGGAUGUGGCUGCGGCCGAUUAGGUAGAUGGUGGGGUAACGGCCCACCAUGCCGAUAAUCGGUACGGGUUGUGAGAGCAAGAACCUGGAGACGGUAUCUGAGACAAGAUACCGGGCCCUACGGGGCGCAGCAGGCGCGAAACCUUUACACUGCACGACAGUGCGAUAGGGGGACUCCGAGUGUGAGGGCAUAUAGCCCUCGCUUUUUCUGAACCGUAAGGUGGUUCAGGAACAAGGACUGGGCAAGACCGGUGCCAGCCGCCCGCGGUAAUACCGGCAGUCCAAGUGAUGGCCGAUAUUAUUGGGCUUAAAGCGUCCGUAGCUUGCUGUGUAAGUCCAUUGGGAAAUCGACUAGCUCAACUGGUCGGCGUCCGGUGGAAAUUACACAGCUUGGAGCCGAGAGACUCGACGGGUACGUCCGGGGUAGGAGUGAAAUCCUGUAUUCUUGGACGGACCACG
This 618-nucleotide ribosomal RNA is filed under the name Haloarcula sp. I.B17. RNAcentral's name for it is "bacterial SSU rRNA". It matches the Rfam family "Archaeal small subunit ribosomal RNA", at positions 43 to 661 of the family's 1478-position model. The record is from RNAcentral. Lineage: Archaea; Methanobacteriati; Methanobacteriota; Halobacteria; Halobacteriales; Haloarculaceae.